RNAcentral lists this transfer RNA (70 nucleotides) under Eupolyphaga hanae. RNAcentral's name for it is "tRNA-Cys". Lineage: Eukaryota; Metazoa; Arthropoda; Insecta; Blattodea; Corydiidae. The record is from RNAcentral.
GGUCUUAUAUUCAUUCAUGAUGUUAGAUUGCAAAUCUAAAGGAGUAAGUUAAGUUGUUUUACUAAGGCUU